UGUCCUACGGGGGGCAGCAGUGGGGAAUAUUGCACAAUGGGGGGAACCCUGAUGCAGCGACGCCGCGUGAGCGAUGAAGUAUUUCGGUAUGUAAAGCUCUAUCAGCAGGGAAGAAAAUGACAGUACCUGACCAAGAAGCCCCGGCUAACUACGUGCCAGCAGCCGCGGUAAUACGUAGGGGGCAAGCGUUAUCCGGAUUUACUGGGUGUAAAGGGAGCGCAGGCGGUAUGGCAAGUCAGAUGUGAAAACCCAGGGCUCAACCCUGGGACUGCAUUUGAAACUGCCAUACUGGAGUGCCG
RNAcentral lists this ribosomal RNA (299 nucleotides) under uncultured bacterium. Its description in RNAcentral is "partial 16S ribosomal RNA". It matches the Rfam family "Bacterial small subunit ribosomal RNA", at positions 335 to 651 of the family's 1533-position model. The record is from RNAcentral.